RNA transcript from Populus nigra (black poplar), 6800 nucleotides. It is a transcript of the gene named probable 3-beta-hydroxysteroid-Delta(8),Delta(7)-isomerase, with no coding region annotated. The transcript has 2 exons. The record is from RefSeq and is a predicted model, not a curated record. Lineage: Eukaryota; Viridiplantae; Streptophyta; Magnoliopsida; Malpighiales; Salicaceae.
AUGGAGGGGCAGCCGCAUCCAUACGCAUCAACAGAUCUCAAACUGCCUGGCUAUGUUCCUAAUUUCCUCACUCAAUUCACCAUUGUCUCUGUCUAUGGACUCUCCUCCCUUCUCGUCGUUUCUCUCAUCUGGAUCCUCUCUGGUUUGCCCUCUUUUUACACUCUUUUUUUCAGUCUUUUUUCCAAGACUGAAAGUGGGCUUUCAUUAACUAUACUUUACUGGAUUGUAGAUUUUAUAGAUUCCCUUUGAAAAAUCCCGCAGUUUGUAGUUUUGGUUUAUUAGCAGUAGCAGUAAACAUAGAUUUUGAAGCAUGCAUAUUCUGGAUGGCCCACUCUGAUUUCAACUUUCAAUCAUGUACUAGAUGUUUUUCAGAGUAUUCUUAUGGCUGCAGAAGCUAAAGGAUCUUCUUAGAGGGAUUGGCUUUCAGUUUCUCACUUAAUUAUUCUAUGCACAGAGUUCACUGGUCAGUUAUUAAUGGCUGUUGCCUUGCUGGGCUACCCAUUGGCAGAAACAAAAUCUUCAAUGAGAAAUAAAAAAUAAACAAAGGAGAUGAGCUCAUUCCACUCUACUCUGCAUUUGCUAAUUGAAAUUUGAGAUCUUUUUUCCAAUUUUUAUAUAUGUAGUUCAAGAUCUAAUUUUGUUCCGUGUUUGCACUUGGUAGACUGGAAAGGGUAUUAAGGCUUGUUCACUUUGGAUUUGGAACUACAGUUCUUUCCCAACGGAGAAUCAAUGUUUUUAUCUUUUCUCGCUCCCUUUCAAGUAACGAAAAGGAAAGGUUACAGACCGUUUCUUGUUUAGAUGUAUUUUUUGAAUCUUCAUUAUAGAUUUCCUACCUCUGCAAAUGCAACAUUUUCUCUAACCAGUGAUAGUUUUUUGGUUUCUAGCACAUUUUUUGGUCCAUCCUCGAUUUUAUAACAAAAUUUGUUUUGCAUCAUGUUACUUGGUGAUUAGUGUUAUGCAUGUUGUAUUGAAAGCAAACACAAAUAAAACACAAACAAGUAGAUUUACGUAGUUCUCCAAAACUAGGUACGUCCACGGAGACAGCAGAUUGUAUAUUAUUGAAGGAAUGAUACAAACACUCAAUUAAACCCGGUACAAUCCCAAUAAACCCAGUGUUUCAUUCUUACACUUGGUGUUUCUCUUAAAUUUAUCUUUUUUCACUCUCAAAAUUACACUUGCACUCACUUCCUCUACUUCUUGCACUCUUGCUUUCUCUGUCUUCAUUUAUAGGAGAAAUGAGAGUCUUGGCAGCAACCAACAAAAAACAAACAACUCCUAACUACUAUAAUAAAUAUAGUGGUUAAAAGUCAUGGUGGUUGAUGGUGGUUGAGAAAAUGUUGACAAAUUUGCUACAAAUCUCCACCUUGGCAAGAUUUUUCUAUCCAAUCCUCGUGAUCAAUUAAUGCUGUCUCUAAUGCGCUAUAUGGUGCUGCACCCUGAAGGUGCUCAAUACUGAGAGAUGUUGAUCAAGUCCAAACAAUAUUGGAACUUGAUCAUUGAGACACAUUUUGCGAGCAUGUCAGCUGGAUUAUCUGCGGUAUCAAUCUUAUAUAGCAUAAUAUCCCCUUCAUUCAUAAUUUCUCGAACAAAAUGAAAUCGAACAUCAAUGUGCUUGGUGCGGGAAUGAUGAACCUGAUUCUUUGUAAGAUAAAUAGCAUUUUGACUAUCACAAUGGACAUCCACGUGCUCUUGAACAAUUCCCAAAUCUUCAAUCAACCCAUGUAACCAAAUAGCUUCCGUGAAAGCUUCCGUUACUGCCAUGUACUCUGCCUCAGUUGUUGACAAACCUAUUGUUGAUUAUAACGUUGACCUCCAACUUACAGACCCUUUAGCAAGUGUAAACACAUAGCCUGUUGUGGAGCGACGCUUGUCUAAGUUACCAGCAUAGUCCGAGUCUACAUAACCAACUAAAUUUUGUCCAAGUCUAUCAUCCCUCUCAAACUUCAAACCAAUAUCAGUUGUGCCAUAAAUGUAUCGUAGAAUCCACUUAACUGCCUACCAGUGACCCUUUCCCAGAUCAUGCACAUACCUGCUCACCAUACUGACAACAUGGAAAUAUCUGGUCUCGUACAAACCAUUGCAUAUAUUAAUGCACCAACUGCAUUUGCAUACGGAAUUUGAGCCAUAUGUUUGCGUUAUUCCUCUGUACAUGGAGACAUUGAAGCAUUUAGCUUAAGAUGAGGAGCUAAAGGUGUGCUUACAGGCUUGGUCUUACCAUCUACCCUGAAUCUCUGUAGAAUUUUCUUCAAGUAUUGGGUCUGUGUCAAACAGACUAUGUCUUUUCUUCUAUCUCUCUGAAUCUUUAUGCUAAGAAUCUUCUUAGCUUCUCCAAGGUCCUUCAUUUCAAACUCAGUUCUCAGUUGAGCUUAUUGUAGCAAAUUUGUCAAUAUUUUUCCAACCACCAUCAACUAUCAUGACUUUUAACCACUAUAUGUAUUGUAGUAGUUAGUAGUUGGUUGGUAUUUAUUGGGUUGCAUAUGGGUUGCUGCUAAGGCUUUCAUUUCUCCUAUAAAUGGAGACAAAGAGAGAGCAAUGAGAGAGAAGAAAUAGAUGAAGUGUGUGUAGUGAGUGCAAGUGCAAUUUUGAGAGUGAGAAAUAACAGAUUUGAGAGAAACACCAAGUGUAAGAGUGAAACACUGAGUUUAUUGGGAUUGUACCGGGUUGAGUUGAGUGUUUGUAUCAUUCCUCCAAAAAUAUACAAUCUGCUGCCUCCGUGGACGUACCUGGUUUUGGGGAACCACGUAAAUAUGCUUGUUUGUGUUUUAUUUGUGUUUGCUUUCGGUCCAGUAUGCAUAACAAAUUGGUAUCGGAGCAUCAAGGAAGCUAGAACACAGAAAAAACAUGUUUUUUCAGUUCUCGGUUCGAAGUUACAGAAUUUUCAAAAUUUUCAAAUCUUGAUUUUAAUCACUUGCGAAGAUUCCUCUCGUCGAUACCAGUCUGACAAUAUAAAGAUCAUCAAAAUCUAAGUUGAAACGAGCCCUGUAGAGCUCGUCGAAGUUUCGCUUAAAAUCUGCUGGAAAAACUAGACAGUGCCGGAAUUCUAGCCUGAGAAGAUUAUGCCACGUCACCAGACACGUUGGCGCUGAGUCAUCAUCCACACCAUCAACAGGGGGUUAACAUCGCCGUGUCAUCAGCCAUGUCAUCUAAUAAUGACAGAAUAUUCUCUUGUCAGAAUAAGAAUAUUUUAUUAACAGUAAGAGAAUAUUCCCUUGACUAUGACAGAAUAUUCUUUAUCAGAGACAGAAUAUUCAUUUCCUAAGUCAACUCGGUCAGAUUGGUGUUUUUGGCCAACUCAGUGAUUUUUUGACUUGUUUUAGGCCAAGUCAAGCUUAUUCCUAACAUUUUCAACCGUUUCGGACGCAACCGUGGUGUCCAUUUUGUGAAACAGCAAGUCGAAGUUACUGUUUUGGCUCUUUUGAGCAUAAAAGUGCGUGUUUUAACAAUUUUGGGAGUCCAUUUGUAAUCCAAAAACAUUCUAAUGGCUAAUAUUCCAGAAGAAAAAUCAGCAGGGAAUGCUAGUAUACCUCCACAAUACAUCCUGGUAUCGAGUACCAAAUUUGAGGUGGAGAAGUUUGACGAGAAAGGUAAUUUUGGCAUGUGGAAAUGUGAAGUCAUGGAUAUGCUUGUCCAAAUGAAUUUGGAUUUCAUUCUAGAAGAUAAACCAGAGGAUUUGGAUGAUAAAAACUGGAAAAUGAUAAAUCAGUUAGUCUACAGUUCCAUCCGACUUUGUCUAAAGGAUUAGAAGUAUGCCUUUUCAGAACAAAACUCUGCAAAGGAAUUAUGGCAAGCACUAGAGCACAAGUUUAUGAAGAAAAGUAUAGAGAAUCGUCUUUACUUGAAGAAAAGGAUUUUUUGUUUUUAGCACAAGAAAGGUACUUCCAUGAAUGAGCAUCUGAAUGAUUUCAAUAAAAUGAUAGCUGAUUUGAAGAAUUUAGAUGUGGAAAUUGAUGAUGAAGAUAAAGCUUUGUUAUUAUUGAAUUCACUGCCUGACACAUAUGAAUAUCUCGUCACUACUUUACUGUAUGGUAAAGAAAAGAUUAAAUUCAUUGAUGUGUCCAAUGCUUUGGUGAACAAUGAGUACCAGAAGAAGAACCAGAUUGUUCACAAUGAGUCAACGUCAGAAGCAUUGACAGUUAGAGGCAGAACAAACCCUAGAAGAUUCCGAGGGCGAGGGAGAUCUCGCUCAAAAUCCAAAGGAGAAUCAUCAAACAUGCGAUAUCUUGCAAAAGAUGAGUGUGCCUUUUGUCACAAAAAGGACACUGGAAGAAAGAUUGUCCAAUCAAGGGCAAUAAGAAAAAAGAUGAACCAACUGUGAACGUUGCACGAGAUGAAGAUGAACGAGACUCUGCAUUUAUGGUCUCAUCACCAGAAAACCAUUCUGGUGAAUGGGUUCUUGAUUCUGCAUGUUCCUAUCAUAUGUGCCCUAACAAGCACUUAUUUCCCGGUACAAUCCCAGUAAACCCAGUGUUUCACUCUUACACUUGGUGUUUCUCUCAAAUCUGCUCUUUCUCACUCUCAAAAUUGCACUUGCACUUACUGCACACACUUCCUCUACUUCUUCUCUUUCAUUGCUCUUUCUUUGUCUCCAUUUAUAGGAGAAAUGAAAGCCUUGGCAGCAACCCAUGUGCAACCCAAUAAAUAUCAACUAACUACUAACUACUACAAUAAAUAUAGUGGUUAAAAGUCAUGGUGGUUGGAAAAAUAUUGACAAAUUUGCUACAAAUCUCCACCUUCGCAAGAUUUUUUCAUCCAAUCCAGCUGACAUGCUCGCAAAAUGUGUCUCAAGGAUCAAGUUCCAACAUUGUUUGGACUUGAUCAACAUCUCUCGGUGUUGAGCACCUUCAGGGUGCAACGCCAUAUGACGCAUUAGAGGCAGCAUCUCCCUCGCCCUCGAAAUCUUCUAGGGUUUGUUCUGCCUCUAACUGUCAAUGCUUCUGACGUUGACUCAUUGUGAACAAUCUGGUCCUUCUUCUGGUACUUAUUGUUCACCAAAGCAUUGGACACAUCAAUGAAUUUAAUCUUUUCUUUACCAUACAAUAAAAUGGUGACGAGAUGUUCAUAUGUGUCAGGCAAUGAAUUCAAUAAUAACAGAGCUUUAUCUUCAUCAUCAAUUUUCACAUCUAAAUUCUUCAAAUCAUCUAUCAUUUUAUUGAAAUCAUUUAGAUGCUCAUUCAUGGAAGUAACUUUCUUGUGCUGAAAACGGAAGAUCCUUUUCUUCAAGUAAAGACGAUUCUCUAUACUCUUCUUCAUAAACUUGUCCUCUAGUGCUUGCCAUAAUUCCCUUGCAGAGUUUUGUUCUGAAAAGGCGUACUUCUAAUCCUUUACAAGACAAAGUCGGAUGGAACUGCGGGCCAACUGAUUUAUCCUUUCCCAAUUUUUAUCAUCCAAAUCCUCCGGUUUAUCUUCUAGAGUGAAAUCCAAAUUUAUUUGGACAAGUAUAUCCAUGACUUCACAUUUCCACAUGCCAAAAUUACCUUUCCUGUCAAACUUCUCCACCUCAAAUUUGGUACUCGAUACCGGGAUGUAUUGUGAAGGUAUACUAGCAUUCCCCGCUGAUUUUUCUUCUUCUGGAAUAUUAGCCAUUAAGACUUCUUUGGAUUACAAAUGGACUCCUGAAAUAGUUAAAACACGCACUUUUAUGCUCAAAAGAGCCAAAACAGUAACUUCGGCUUGCUGUUUCAUAAAAUAGACACCACGGUUGCGUCCGGAACGGUUGAAAAUGCUAGGAACAAGCUCAACUCAGGCUAAAAUGGGUCAAAAAAUCACCGAGUUGGCCAAAAACACCAAUCUGACCGAGUUGACUUAGGAAAAAGAAUAUUCUGUCUCUGAUAAAAAAUAUUUUGUCACAGUUAAUGGGGUAUUCUCUUAUUGUUGACAGAAUAUUCUUAUUCUGUCAACAGAAUAUUCUAUUAUUAUUAGAUGACGUGGCUGAUGACAUGACAAUGUGAACCUUCCUGUUGAUGACGUGGAUGGUGACUCAGCACCAACGUGUCUGGUGACGUGUCAUAGUCUUCUCAAGCUAGAAUUUCGGCACUGUCUUGUUUUUCCAGCAGAUUUCAAGAGAAACUUUGGCGAGCUCUAUAGGGCUCGUUUCAACUCUGAUUUCGAUGAUCUUUAUAUUGUCGGACUUGUAUCGAGGAGAGGGAUCUCCGCAAGUGGUUAAAAUCAAGAUUUUAGAACUUUGAAAAUUUUACAACUUAGAACCGAGAGCUGAAAAAACAUGUUUUUUCAGUGUUCUAGCUUUCCUAAUACUCUGAUACCAAUUUGUUGUGCAUACUGGACCGAAAGCAAACACAAACAAACAAAUUUACGUGGUUCCCCAAAAUCAGGUAAGUCCACGGAGGCAGCGGAUUGUAUAUUAUUGGAGGAAUGAUACAAACACUCAACUCAACCCGGUACAUCCUAGUAAACCCAGUAUUUCACUCUUACACUUGGUGUUUCUCUCAAAUCUGCACUUGCACACACUUCCUCUACUUCUUGCACUCUUGCUUUCUCUUUGUCUUUAUUUUUAGGAGAAAUGAGAGUUCUGGCAACAACCAAUAAAAACAAACAACUCCUAACUACAACAAUAGAUAUAGUGGUUAAAAGUCAUGGUGGUUGAGAAAAUAUUGACAAAUUUGCUGCAAUUAGUGCAUGCAUUCGAUAAUCGGAAGGUCUCGUAAAUUAGCCAAAAUUGAUAGAUUGCUCAUGUGCUGGUGGGCUUUCACUGGUCUCACACACGUGAUUCUCGAGGGUUAUUUUGUUUUCUCUCCAGAAUUUUACAAGGACAAGACUGCUCAUUAUCUAGCUGGAGUUUGUAA